Molecule: ribosomal RNA, 253 nt
Filed under: uncultured bacterium
Lineage: Bacteria
Description: partial 16S ribosomal RNA
Rfam family: Bacterial small subunit ribosomal RNA
Source: RNAcentral
UACGUAGGGUGCGAGCGUUAAUCGGAAUUACUGGGCGUAAAGCGCGCGUAGGCGGUUACUUAAGUCGGAUGUGAAAGCCCUCGGCUUAACUGAGGAAGUGCACCCGAAACUGAGUAGCUAGAGUACGAAAGAGGGUCGCGGAAUUCCCGGUGUAGCGGUGAAAUGCGUAGAUAUCGGGAGAAACACCAGUGGCGAAGGCGGCUGCCUGGGCCAGUUCUGACGCUGAGGCGCGAAAGCGUGGGGAGCAAACAGG